This 439-nucleotide small RNA is filed under the name Pongo abelii (Sumatran orangutan). RNAcentral's name for it is "retained intron". Lineage: Eukaryota; Metazoa; Chordata; Mammalia; Primates; Hominidae. The record is from RNAcentral.
CAUUGAGCUACAGCUAUGGGCCAGGCUCGGGGCUGCAGGUGUUCGUCCUCGUGGCCCUUCCUGGCUGGCGAGGAGAAGAGCUGCCUAUGGGACAGAACUGCGGUCCUGAGCUGCAGUAACGCCUGGGAGGCACUACAGGGCAGCUGACACCCUAGCUGUACGCCAGAAGCGGCGGAUUUACGACAUUACCAAUGUUUUGGAAGGUAUCGGGCUAAUCGAGAAAAAGUCCAAGAACAGCAUCCAGUGGAAGUGAGUGGGGAUAGUGGGAGGGUAGUAGAGUCUCCCACCCAGAAGUGUCGGGCGUGGGGUGGAGGGUGCCAAAGAAGGCAGGGGCCAUGGGACCCAGAGUUCUCAGCAGUCCCUCUCAGCCCCACUCCCUGGGCUCAGGGGUGUGGGGCCUGGCUGCAAUACCCGGGAGAUUGCCGACAAGCUGAUUGAG